GUUCUCACUUUGGCAGGACAUACAUUAAAAUUGGAAUCCUACAGAGAUUAGCAUGGCCCCUGAAGUAGGAUGGCAUGCACACUUGUGAAGCAUUCCGUAUUUUU
Molecule: small nuclear RNA, 104 nt
Organism: Callithrix jacchus (white-tufted-ear marmoset)
Lineage: Eukaryota; Metazoa; Chordata; Mammalia; Primates; Cebidae
Source: Ensembl